RNAcentral lists this long non-coding RNA (584 nucleotides) under Ricinus communis (castor bean). RNAcentral's name for it is "long non-coding RNA (RCOM_LNC000644)". Lineage: Eukaryota; Viridiplantae; Streptophyta; Magnoliopsida; Malpighiales; Euphorbiaceae. The record is from RNAcentral.
CUAGCAUAAAAAUAUUUUACAGAUGGCAAUCAUUAAAAUAAAUAAAUUUACAAACUUUAUGUAGCACUAAAUACAUGUCCAAAAUUAGCAAAGGAAUAUUAUUACCUCCCCUCAAAAUUAGCACUCCACAUUUAAUCUUGGCAUAAAGGACUCAUCAAUCUCGAGAUCUUGAAUAAUUUCUACAAUAAAAGUAAAAAAUUACGUCAAUAAGACUUAACAGCAUCAACAAUAAAUAAACAUAUGUAAGAAGUAAAGAAAUGUUACCUGACUCUAUGCUUUCAAUAUCCUCUAUUGAUUCUUCUAGUUGGAUAGAUUUAUUUGAACUUCUAAGCCAAUCUUGAUAACAAAUGAGGAUCUUUGCUGUUGUAGGAAGUAAAUAACUUCUAUAUUGUUAAAAGAUGUUUUGACAAUUUUUUUCUCAAGUUUUGUUGAUCCUUUUCAAAAAAAAAAUUUAAAUUUAUAAAAUAUAAUUUAAUAUUUUUUUAUAUUUUAAUAUUAAUUUAUAAUAUUUUAAUAGUUCAUAAAUUAAUUAUUUCUAAAUAUUUAAUUUUUUAAGUUUUAUUAGUAUAAUAAUAUAAAAAUUA